GGUCUCAGACAAGGGCGUUCCAGUACGUCAGUGAUCUAGUGAAUGGCCUCGUGGCUCUCAUGAACAGCAACGUCAGCAGCCCGGUCAACCUGGUGAGUGCUCCUCUCCCUCCACUCUGCAGGACAGCUCAGACUUUCGUUCAUUUGUGAAACCAUGAGCAGCACCAGGCUUUGCUUCAUUUGCCAUCGGCACACUUAGGACAUUUGUGUUUGUUGCUUGCUAAAUACUAGAGGAAAAACAAACACAAAGUAAGAGUAUACAAAGAAGUAAAAUAUCUGCAAGGCAUGGGUGAGUGAUGUAAUCAGUCCCUCCACCUUCUGAAGGACCCGGGUCUAAAAUUGUGUGAAGCCUUUUGGUGGUAGUAGGUGGACAU
RNAcentral lists this small RNA (373 nucleotides) under Pan troglodytes (chimpanzee). Its description in RNAcentral is "retained intron". The record is from RNAcentral. Lineage: Eukaryota; Metazoa; Chordata; Mammalia; Primates; Hominidae.